UAGGGAAUCUUCCGCAAUGGACGAAAGUCUGACGGAGCAACGCCGCGUGAGUGAUGAAGSCUUUCGGGUCGUAAAACUCUGUUGUUAGGGAAGAACAAGUACGAGAGUAACUGCUCGUACCUUGACGGUACCUAACCAGAAAGCCACGGCUAACUACGUGCCAGCAGCCGCGGUAAUACGUAGGUGGCAAGCGUUAUCCGGAAUUAUUGGGCGUAAAGCGCGCGCAGGCGGUUUCUUAAGUCUGAUGUGAAAGCCCACGGCUCAACCGUGGAGGGUCAUUGGAAACUGGGGAACUUGAGUGCAGAAGAGAAAAG
RNAcentral lists this ribosomal RNA (314 nucleotides) under uncultured Bacillus sp. RNAcentral describes it as "bacterial SSU rRNA". It matches the Rfam family "Bacterial small subunit ribosomal RNA", at positions 355 to 661 of the family's 1533-position model. The record is from RNAcentral. Lineage: Bacteria; Bacillati; Bacillota; Bacilli; Caryophanales; Bacillaceae.